This 376-nucleotide long non-coding RNA is filed under the name Pan troglodytes (chimpanzee). RNAcentral's name for it is "long non-coding RNA NONPTRT001759". Lineage: Eukaryota; Metazoa; Chordata; Mammalia; Primates; Hominidae. The record is from RNAcentral.
GCCAUCGAAAAAGUCUUGGACUAGGAAAAGCCCAGGGGUACUAGAUAUUGCAACGGUGGCACAUAAGGAAAGCAGUAACAGCAUUUCAUUAGGAUAUUUUAUUACCUGGAAGGAUUUUUUAAAGGAGAAAAUUUAUGUACUUCAUAUAUUUAAUUUGUACUCGAAUAUUUGAAAUGCUUCUUUUGACUAUAUGUAUAUAUAUUAUAUAUAUAUUCUUUUCUAUUUUUAUCACAGAGAGUAAGAUCGCUGAAAUCUCCAUAUUUAUAUUCAUAUAGUAAAAGCCUUCAUUAUAUAAAAAUUAUCUACAAUGCCCACUCACAGGUCAAGUGUAUCUAACUCCGAGUUAGGAAACUGUAUACUGAAGUACAGCCCCGUC